CAAUAGCGUAUAUUAAAGUUGUUGCAGUUAAAAAGCUCGUAGUUGGAUUUCGGGGUGGCCUGCCUGGUCCACCGCAAGGUGAGUACUGGUCAGCCGCCCUUCCUCUCGAAAGCCCCGACUGCUCUUCAUUGCAGUGGUCGGGUAGUUCGGGACGUUUACUUUGAAAAAAUUAGAGUGUUCAAGGCAGGCUCUCGCCUGAAUACAUUAGCAUGGAAUAAUGGAAGAGGACCUCGGUCCUAUUUUGUUGGUUUCUAGGGCCGAAGUAAUGAUUAAGAGGGACAGUUGGGGGCAUUCGUAUUUAAUUGUCAGAGGUGAAAUUCUUGGAUUUAUGAAAGACGAACUAGUGCGAAAGCAUUUGCCAAGGAUGUUUUCAUUGA
RNAcentral lists this ribosomal RNA (377 nucleotides) under uncultured eukaryote. Its description in RNAcentral is "partial 18S ribosomal RNA". It matches the Rfam family "Eukaryotic small subunit ribosomal RNA", at positions 592 to 976 of the family's 1831-position model. The record is from RNAcentral.